CUAGCGACUUCAGAGUUUGAUCCUGGCUCAGGAUGAACGCUGGCGGCGUACUUAACACAUGCAAGUCGAACGGAGCUUGUCUGAUAGAGGAUUCGUCCAAUUGAUUACAAGCUUAGUGGCGGACGGGUGAGUAACGCGUGAGGAACCUGCCUUGGAGUGGGGAAUAACACAGUGAAAAUUGUGCUAAUACCGCAUAAUGCAGUUGAGUCGCAUGGCUCUGACUGCCAAAGAUUUAUCGCUCUAAGAUGGCCUCGCGUCUGAUUAGGUAGUUGGUGAGGUAACGGCUCACCAAGCCGACGAUCAGUAGCCGGACUGAGAGGUUGGCCGGCCACAUUGGGACUGAGACACGGCCCAG
RNAcentral lists this ribosomal RNA (355 nucleotides) under uncultured bacterium. RNAcentral describes it as "bacterial SSU rRNA". It matches the Rfam family "Bacterial small subunit ribosomal RNA", at positions 1 to 334 of the family's 1533-position model. The record is from RNAcentral.